This 331-nucleotide long non-coding RNA is filed under the name Brassica rapa (field mustard). RNAcentral's name for it is "long non-coding RNA (BRAP_LNC002336)". Lineage: Eukaryota; Viridiplantae; Streptophyta; Magnoliopsida; Brassicales; Brassicaceae. The record is from RNAcentral.
UAUAUACUAAAGCACAAGUCACCUUGCCAAUAAAAUUAUCACACAUGAAAUAUAUUUAAAAAUUUAAAGAAAAAUGCAACAAAAAGAAAAGAAAAACGUAAAUGCUUAAAAGAAAAAACAGUUUUCUUUAGUAACUGAUUUCUAUUUAUUUAUUUUCUAUGUAAAAUAAAAAUGCAACUAUUUCUCACACUACUACUACACCCAUGAUCCCACUAUCUUUGAAAAUAUAUUUUUUUCUCAAGAUAAAAUUUACUCAUGAUGCUCUGUGUCUAAAUUCAUUUCUUCUUGCAAUAAGAACUUUUAAAUUUUUAAAAUCUCUGCAACAGCUCCG